RNAcentral lists this ribosomal RNA (490 nucleotides) under uncultured bacterium. RNAcentral's name for it is "bacterial SSU rRNA". It matches the Rfam family "Bacterial small subunit ribosomal RNA", at positions 1 to 493 of the family's 1533-position model. The record is from RNAcentral.
UUUAGAGUUUGAUCCAUGGCUCAGGAUAAACGCUGGCGGCAUGCCUAAUACAUGCAAGUCGAACGAGAGUGCUUGCACUCUAGUGGCGAACGGGUGAGUAACACGUAAGGAACUUGCCUCAAAGACGAGGAUAAUCACGGGAAACUGUGGCUAAUACUGGAUAGGACGGAGAGUCGCAUGACAUUCCGUUUAAAGAUGCGGAUGCAUCACUUUGAGAGAGCCUUGCGCAGCAUUAGCUAGUUGGUAGGAUAACAGCCUACCAAGGCGACGAUGCUUAGCUGGACUGGGAGGUCGAACAGCCACACUGGGACUGAGACACGGCCCAGACUCCUACGGGAGGCAGCAGUAGGGAAUUUUCGGCAAUGGGCGAAAGCCUGACCGAGCAAUGCCGCGUGAACGAAGAAGGUCUUCGGAUCGUAAAGUUCUGUUGUUAAGGAAGNACACUUAUAAGAGGAAAUGCUUAUAAGCUGACGUACUAACGAGAAGUCCG